UACAUUCAGCUGUAGACAUCAUGUUGUAGUCUCCCUCCUCUUUAGCUAGGCUACAUUCAGCUGUAGAUGUCAUGUUGUAGUUUCCCUCUCUAGCUAGGCUACAUUCAACUGUAGACAUGUUGUAGUCUCCCUCCCCUCUAGCUAGGCUACAUUCAGCUGUAGACAUCAUGUUGUAGUCUCCCUCCUCUCUAGUUAGGCUACAUUCAGCUGUAGACGUCAUGUUGUAGUCUCCCUCUUUAGCUAGGCUACAUUCAGCUGUAGACGUCAUGUUGUAGUCUCCCUCCUCUUUAGCUAGGCUACAUUCAGCUGUAGACGUCAUGUUGUAGUCUCCCUCCUCCUUAGCUAGGCUACAUUCAGCUGUAGACAUCAUGUUGUAGUCUCCCUCCUCUCUAGCUAGGUUACAUUCAGCUGUAGACGCCAUGUUGUAGUCUCCCUCCUCUCUAGCUAGGUUACAUUCAGCUGUAGACAUCAUGUUGUAGUCUCCCUCCCCUUUAGCUAGGUUACAUUCAGCUGUAGACGUCAUGUUGUAGUCUCCCUCCUCUUUAGCUAGGCUACAUUCAGCUGUAGACGUCAUGUUGUAGUCUCCCUCCUCUCUAGUUAGGCUACAUUCAGCUGUAGACAUCAUGUUGUAGUCUCCCUCCUCUCUAGUUAGGCUACAUUCAGCUGUAGACAUCAUGUUGUAGUCUCCCUCCUCUCUAGUUAGGCUACAUUCAGCUGUAGACGUCAUGUUGUAGUCUCCUUCCUCUCUAGCUAGGCUACAUUCAGCUGUAGACGUCAUGUUGUAGUCUCCCUCCUCUCUAGCUAGGCUACAUUCAGCUGUAGACGUCAUGUUGUAGUCUCCCUCCUCUUUAGCUAGACUACAUUCAGCUGUAGACAUCAUAUUGUGGUCUCCCGCCACAAUCUCACCAGACCAUUCCUUCAUUCACAAUGACCAAGUUUUUCUCUCCCUCUGAGCGGGUAGAUAUUAAUUGACCAAUCAGAACGGCACUCGGUGCAUACACACACACAGCCUCCUUGUGCCCUGAUGGGGUGAUGUCAUGUGUAUUAUUAGCAAUUAGUGGCCUGUUAAUAAGUCCACUGGCUGCAGGGAUGGCUUAGUGUAUGUGACCAUGCCCAAUAGUAUUAGUGCUGGUAGACCAGGGCUACGCUGGACUACUGGAUGUGCAGUACUGAUCUACUCUUCUAGGAGAGGAGAGGGAGAAAGUAGAAGAGGAUGGGAUAGCUGACGAAAGGAGAGAAGGGGAUGGAGUAGAGGGAGUGUUUGAGAUGGUGACUUGGGAGAGGAGUGUGAAAAGGAAGACUGGAGAAGAGGGAAGGAGGAGGGUGGCACUUAACUGUUCCCCAGAGAGCUCUAGAGGUUCAUAACUGAUGAGUUCUCGAUGAGAGGGCUUAGGAUGACCAGGAGGGGGAUGACCCAACCAUCUGAAACCCUUAACAUAGAGAGGGUUAUACUCACUGUUGACCUAGUAAUACUAUACGGACGACUGACAGUAUCAGGACAGACAUACCUCUAACAUCAGUCCUCAUUGGAUGUUUCCUCAACGGAACGCCCCCUAUGACAAAUUACUAUUAGUCUCGUUACUGCACAGUCAAACUGACAUAUUUGUGUUCAUAAAGUAGCAAAAAACAAUGCACUGCUUACAUCAGAUUCUCUAUUUAGAGGUUUGGGAAUCGUGGUCUGUUGGUAUAGCAUUGUCCAACAGGCUUUAUGGAGCCAGUGAAGCAUAGCUAAUGCACUUCUUACAUGCCUACUGUAAUAGUUCAUUAGCAUUUGGCUCUCAUCGCGGGAAUACACUACAGAUAGGCUGGAAGCAGGGUGACUUCAAUCAUGAUAAAAAUUAAUGAAUGGUAGUUGCCUAUAGUGCUUUAGUCUUGAGAGGAGUUGGGAGAAUAGAACACCAUAUAGCUGCUUCAAAUUCCUGGUGGGCUGAUAUAAACGUUGUGUCCUUGAAAGCACUAGAGCUUUGUUUACUAAAGAAAGUCCAAGUGUAGUGGUUCAGGUUUAACCUUGAGAAUACAUUUGGAGUGGAGGUACUUUUCUGAAACAGACUAUAGAGUCAAGAGAAAAGCCUGUCUUUACCAAAGACCCAACAACACUGUUGCUGGAGUAAGACCGACAGGGGAAUUGAAUGUACACAGGUGAUGCCCCUCCCCUCACACAUGAUGAUGACAUCGUCUUUAAAUGGCCCCAUGUAAAUAACCUAACAUUUGUCUUAUUCCUGAUGCUGCCACAGCUGUUGCAAGUAUACUAGAGGUAUCUUCACUUCUGCACGUUUUAAUAUUUUCUUUAAUAGUUUAUUACUAUGUAUGGUGACUAAGUGUCCAUUACAAGUGCAAAAUAAAGUUGUCCACAGAUACUUUAUCUGACCUCACCGUAUGGAUACUGUAAUACUGGUCAACCUGUUCUGAAUCAGUACUCGGGAAUGAGUGUCCUUGUUUUCAACUUCAGUUGUCUGGUUUUCCCUCAUGCCUGCCCGUUGAUUUCCAGCAUGAUGGCCCUCUUGGAGUUUUUCUAGGAUUUGUUUUAUUGAGACACAUUCUUACAUGCAAUGACUAACUUCUUGUAGCAGCGUUAUAGAAAAUGAACAAGCACAAGUCCACAUGCUGGUGAGUAGCCCGCUAAUCUUUAUAUUUAAAGUCCAGCCAACUUGGAUCUAUUUGCUUGCGAACAAGGUAGAACAGUUGAACUGUUAUGAAUACACCCUCCAGUCCGUCAACUGUUUGAACAACAGCUUGUUCACCUUGUUAAGAUAUUGUUCAUGUGACCUACCUGAAUAGAAAUUGUACUUAUUUCUCAGAAUGAGAACAAGUUGCCAAUUUCUUAUGAAUGUGGAUUUUUAUGCUCAUUGCACAUUUAUAAAACAGAAACUGAACAGCUAGCACAUACGUCUAUGGCUAAAAUGCUGCUAGCGGUAGGCCUACGUGGUACCGCAAUGCCGCGUACGACAAACGUUUGUUUUUUUGUUCAUUGUCUUGGUUUCAGUUCAAUUAUAUUUAAAAAAUGAUCAGUUCUCUGUUUCAAAAUUUUUUUAAAUUCCCUAUGGAUUAUGUGAGUUCAAUGCUGGAACACUGAAUAAAACAUUUAAUCAAAGUCCCAUGAUGGUAGUGACUGUCCAUUACUGCUUAUCACUUAUUGACCAUCAUUUAUUCACAUUACUUUAAUCAAAUUAUUUUAUUUAACUUUCAAGUCAUCUCAUCUGUAUACAGCUGCUGCCUAUGCUGUCUGACAAAAUCACUAUUUUAGUAGUUCUUCAAAGUAAAUAAGGCAUACCUUUAUGAAUACCAACUAUCAAUCAGGUAUCAGCUAUUUUCAGGCUUGCGAAGCAACUGCUUUCUAUCCUCCUCGAUAUUCUCUCAGUCUCCGUGUCUGCUCCGCACAGACCGGACAAGUUUAUGCAGGUGCGCAAUGGGUUAUGGUCAAUGUAGUUAAUUACCACAUUUUCUGUGCUAAACUAUGUAGAGUAUUGGCCUGUAGGAAACUACAACUCCCACCCCUCCUUCCCAUGUCAACUCCCACAUCGCACUGUUCCGGCUUCAUCUGAUUUAUCUUGACAAACUGUACAUCGAGCUCACAGGAAAAACGGAACAAAAUGAAUUCAAAUAAUUGAACCAAUGUCAGAAAAUGGCUCCGCACUAAUUGUGAGAUGUGCAAUGUCAUUUUGUCCCGAUAUUUUAUUUAUUAAAAUAAGAUACCUCAAGUCAAUUAAGAGUCAAUUAAAAUAAAUGUAUUUUAACACACUAAUCUUCAGGGGGUGUAGAGGGUGUUUUGCAGACAGUGGAGCAAAACACUUCUGUUUAUAUUGAAUAACCACAACAAAAUAUUCUGCCCACUUAUUUCUCUUAAAAUGAGUUUGUCUAAGGAUAGCCAGUAUUCACAUAUCUAAAUCUUACCAAACGUUGCUUUUAUCUGUCCGUAAAUAGACGAUUUCCUCAGUUACCCUACUCUCGUUUUGGUUGGGUCGUUUUGGUUGGGUCGUUUUAGUAGGGUCGUUUUGUUAAGGUCAUUUUAGUAGGGUCGUUUUGGUUGGGUCGUUUUAGUAGGGUCUGCUCUGUUGGGAGAUGAGACAUAAAAACGGUAUCGUUAGAAAGGGUACGUUUUCAUCUAGUACAGUAAAAUAAUGUCUUAAGAGUUUCGGUGUCCAUAUGACCAUUUUUAUUUAAUUUAUCAUUAUUUUUUAUUCUAUUGGGCCAAACCUGAAAUGCAGAAGGAGAGUUGAAACUGCUUGCCAAAGAGGAAGAAGUGAUCUUUCGUCUUUGUUGUUGUGAGCGGUAGGGUGAGAGGCUUGGUGUCUGUGUGAUUGGCAAGGUGCACAGUGCACACAGCGCAUAAGGAGCGAAGGGGAAGAGACCAAAAAGACGGAGCACUCAUAAAAACAAAAUUGUAUUUUCUUUCGAUAGUCAUUUGGAACAUUGUACUAAAACAUUACAUUCUGAUGAAUCUAAUCAAUGCAAUAUAUUGCCCAGCCCUACAUGCAGUGUGUGUCAGUGUGAGACUGAGUGCUUUGUUGCCUGUCUCUACCUCAGUGCCUCGGGCAAUUUAAUUUCCUCCCCUCCACAUUUUCAUCUUGUUUUUACUGCUGAUGCUCUGAUCCCAGUGUUAGUUUGAGGUCUCCGUGUCUCUCCUGGGAUCCAGGUGUUCUGCAUUACAGGUUUAGUGGCUAAUACAGUAUGUUCAAGAUGUAUUCUAGCUACACAGCCUUGGCAUUCGUGGGCUCUAUACAAGGAUCCCCAGCCGAGCUGCUAGACGAUUCGCAGUCCAUCUGGUUCUGUUUUUCUCUUCUUUCAUUACAAUUGGAAUCCUUUCAUUUUUAGUUUGGCCCUCCCUCCCAAUCCUUGUUUACUCUGCCUCUGUGCUUCUCCUGUGUGGCUAGUUGUCUGUUGGCUCCACCUUGACUCCAUCUCCUGCCUUCUCCUCGUCGCUCUGUGUCGGAGGGAAGUGGGAGAGACAGACGGGGGGUAGGGGAGGUGCUGGAAGGUAGCGCUGGGGGCUGUUGCUGAGCCCAGGGCAGAGCUCUCUCUUGGUCUGUGUUGACACAGCAGGUGUUGAUUUGACUCCACAGUAGGGCUUUGUUUGUUCCAUGCCAUACCACAGCUCAGCAGCAUGGACAUGAAAGGGCAAAAACAAGCCAGAGCCAGGCACUGCACUCUGAGGGAGACUCACUCUCCCUCAGUAUCGGUUGUUUUAGUGAACAAAUACAGGGUGCCUGUUUGCAGUCUCGCAAUAACAGCUUGGAUUAUUUUUCCAGGCUUGAUUUCUUGUACAUGUAGCUGCCUCACUAAUUCUCUUUCUCUUCCUUGAUUUAUUUCUCUCUCCCUCCUUC
Oncorhynchus keta (chum salmon) is the source of this 5321-nucleotide long non-coding RNA. RefSeq lists it as uncharacterized. Lineage: Eukaryota; Metazoa; Chordata; Actinopteri; Salmoniformes; Salmonidae. The transcript has 3 exons. The record is from RefSeq and is a predicted model, not a curated record.